UACAGAGGGUGCUAGCGUUGUUCGGAAUCAUUGGGCGUAAAGGGCGUGUAGGCGGUUUGUUAAGUCAUGUGUGAAAUCCCUCGGCUCAACCGGGGAACGACGCAUGAAACUGGCAAGCUAGAGUACCAAAGAGGGGGGUGGAAUUCCCGGUGUAGCGGUGAAAUGCGUAGAUAUCAGGAGGAACACCGGUGGCGAAGGCGGUUCUCUGGGCCUUACCUGACACUGAGGAGCGAAAGCGUGGGGAGCGAACAGG
Molecule: ribosomal RNA, 253 nt
Filed under: uncultured bacterium
Lineage: Bacteria
Description: partial 16S ribosomal RNA
Rfam family: Bacterial small subunit ribosomal RNA
Source: RNAcentral